RNAcentral lists this ribosomal RNA (253 nucleotides) under uncultured bacterium. RNAcentral's name for it is "partial 16S ribosomal RNA". It matches the Rfam family "Bacterial small subunit ribosomal RNA", at positions 524 to 776 of the family's 1533-position model. The record is from RNAcentral.
UACGUAGGGUGCAAGCGUUGUCCGGAAUUAUUGGGCGUAAAGAGCUCGUAGGCGGUUUGUCGCGUCUGCUGUGAAAACUCGGGGCUUAACCCCGGGCCUGCAGUGGGUACGGGCAGACUAGAGUGCGGUAGGGGAGACUGGAAUUCCUGGUGUCGCGGUGAAAUGCGCAGAUAUCAGGAGGAACACCGGUGGCGAAGGCGGGUCUCUGGGCCGUAACUGACGCUGAGGAGCGAAAGCGUGGGGAGCGAACAGG